RNAcentral lists this ribosomal RNA (787 nucleotides) under uncultured bacterium. RNAcentral's name for it is "bacterial SSU rRNA". It matches the Rfam family "Bacterial small subunit ribosomal RNA", at positions 10 to 794 of the family's 1533-position model. The record is from RNAcentral.
AGUUUGAUCCUGGCUCAGAUUGAACGCUGGCGGCAUGCCUUACACAUGCAAGUCGAACGGUAACAGGUCUUCGGAUGCUGACGAGUGGCGAACGGGUGAGUAAUACAUCGGAACGUGCCCGAUCGUGGGGGAUAGCGAGGCGAAAGCUUUGCUAAUACCGCAUACGAUCUACGGAUGAAAGCGGGGGAUCUUCGGACCUCGCGCGGACGGAGCGGCCGAUGGCAGAUUAGGUAGUUGGUGGGAUAAAAGCUUACCAAGCCGACGAUCUGUAGCUGGUCUGAGAGGAUGAUCAGCCACACUGGGACUGAGACACGGCCCAGACUCCUACGGGAGGCAGCAGUGGGGAAUUUUGGACAAUGGGCGAAAGCCUGAUCCAGCCAUGCCGCGUGCAGGAUGAAGGCCUUCGGGUUGUAAACUGCUUUUGUACGGAACGAAAAGCCUCUUUCUAAUAAAGAGGGGUCAUGACGGUACCGUAAGAAUAAGCACCGGCUAACUACGUGCCAGCGGCCGCGGUAAUACGUAGGGUGCAAGCGUUAAUCGGAAUUACUGGGCGUAAAGCGUGCGCAGGCGGUUUUGUAAGACAGAGGUGAAAUCCCCGGGCUCAACCUGGGAACUGCCUUUGUGACUGCAAGGCUGGAGUGCGGCAGAGGGGGAUGGAAUUCCGCGUGUAGCAGUGAAAUGCGUAGAUAUGCGGAGGAACACCGAUGGCGAAGGCAAUCCCCUGGGCCUGCACUGACGCUCAUGCACGAAAGCGUGGGGAGCAAACAGGAUUAGAUACCCCGGUAGU